AACGACUCUCGGCAACGGAUAUCUCGGCUCACGCAUCGAUGAAGAACGUAGCAAAAUGCGAUACUUGGUGUGAAUUGCAGAAUCCCGUGAACCAUCGAGUUUUUGAACGCAAGUUGCGCCCGAAGCCAUUCGGCCGAGGGCACGUCUGCCUGGGUGUCACGCAU
This 164-nucleotide ribosomal RNA is filed under the name Berkheya cuneata. RNAcentral describes it as "5.8S ribosomal RNA". It matches the Rfam family "5.8S ribosomal RNA". From Rfam's summary of the family: 5.8S ribosomal RNA (5.8S rRNA) is a component of the large subunit of the eukaryotic ribosome. It is transcribed by RNA polymerase I as part of the 45S precursor that also contains 18S and 28S rRNA. The record is from RNAcentral. Lineage: Eukaryota; Viridiplantae; Streptophyta; Magnoliopsida; Asterales; Asteraceae.